RNAcentral lists this ribosomal RNA (253 nucleotides) under uncultured bacterium. RNAcentral's name for it is "partial 16S ribosomal RNA". It matches the Rfam family "Bacterial small subunit ribosomal RNA", at positions 524 to 776 of the family's 1533-position model. The record is from RNAcentral.
UCCGUAGGAUCCGAUCGUUGUCCGGAAUUACUGGGUGUAAAGGGCGUGUAGGUGGGUCUCUAAGUCGAUGGUGAAAUCCUGCAGCUUAACUGUAGAAUUGCCUUCGAUACUGGAGAUCUUGAGUGCGGCAGAGGGAGAUGGAAUUCAUGGUGUAGCGGUGAAAUGUGUAGAUAUCAUGAAGAACACCGGUAGCGAAGGCGGUCUCCUGGUCCGUAACUGACACUGAGGCGCGAAAGCGUGGGGAGAAAACAGG